AUAUACUAUUACUUAAUAAUAGUU
Molecule: non-coding RNA, 24 nt
Filed under: Arabidopsis thaliana (thale cress)
Lineage: Eukaryota; Viridiplantae; Streptophyta; Magnoliopsida; Brassicales; Brassicaceae
Source: RNAcentral